This 32-nucleotide non-coding RNA is filed under the name Mus musculus (house mouse). The record is from RNAcentral. Lineage: Eukaryota; Metazoa; Chordata; Mammalia; Rodentia; Muridae.
UAUCGGGUCAAACAUGUUUCCUGCUAGUGCAU